Molecule: long non-coding RNA, 4382 nt
Filed under: Homo sapiens (human)
Lineage: Eukaryota; Metazoa; Chordata; Mammalia; Primates; Hominidae
Description: HSALNT0387807
Source: RNAcentral
CCGGGGGCGUCCGCGCGGGCGGGGCGAGGUCGGGGAGGGCAGCUGCCCGCCCUCCUCGGCACUGGGAGCUUUCGGCUGGUACUGCGGGAGGAGCUCCCGGGUGACCCGCGGGUUCUGAAACCGCCGCUCGGGAGCUCGGGGCCUGCGCGGCGUCUACGGGGCGAGCGAGGGAGAACUGACGCCUUUCGCUCGGAUCCUUCUCCCCUUCCGAGAACCAGAUUGAGGUGGAACUCACGUCACAUAAACCGGGUCGCAAGGCUCAGCUCAGCGGGGCCCCCCCACAGUGUUGCGGGACCAGCACCUUCUCGAGCUCCGGAACAGCUUCUACCCGCGCAGAGCCCGGCCCGUCGGCGGCCGCUCUCCGCGCCCCUCCCGGGCCCUGCAGCCCCCGCCCUGCUCCGCGGAGCAGCCUGUUCUGACCUCCGUUCCAUGGAGCCCUACGUGCUGUGGCUUCUGUGUUCCGGCGCCUUUCGCUUAGAAUCGCGUCUUAAAGGUUCGUCCGCGGUGGAGCGGGGAUCAGGCCCGUGUUCCUUUUCAGGAGUGAAUAAUAUUCCCUGGUAUGGAGACUGCGCUGAGAUAGGACCUGGGCCACCCCCUCUGAUUAUUUCCCGCCCACCCCUUCACUGGCGCCAGCCCCACGGAGACCUCGCAGGUGCCGUGAGAAAGUGGAGAUGAGCAGAGUCUGGACGCAUGCGCGGGGCCGGGAGGUGCCGGCCGCAGCCUGCGCCGUCUCCUAAUGCGGAAAUCUGCACCCAGGGCGGAACUCGCCGGUGUCUUCCGCGCGCGCACUGCACGUGUCGGCAUCCUUUCUAGUGCGCCUGCGCAGCCAGCACCGCCUGCACCUGCGCUGACGCUCGCUGACAGCAGUACCCUCCUGGGAAGCCACGCAGGACCCGUCUUCGGGAGCCCGAGAGCCUCCUUCCCGGGCGCCAGUCUUAAUAAACUUUGUAUGUGUGUGAUGGAGCCUCGCUCUUUUGCCCAGGCUCACUGCAAACUCCGCCUCUCGGGUUCAGGCAAUUCUCCCGCCUCAGCCUCCCUAGUAGCCGGGACUACAGGUGCCCGCCACCACAUCCUGCAAAUUUUUUUUUUUUUUUUUUUUGGUAGAGAUGGGGUUUCACCAUGUUGCCCAAGCUGGUCUCGAACUCCUGACCUCAGGUGAUCCGCCCGCGUUGGCCUCCCAAAGUGCUGGGAUUACAGGCAUGAGCACCACGCCGGCCUUAAUAGACGUUAUCUGGGAGAAGUUUGUCGGGCCUCUUGUCGGUUUCUGUUGCUUGGCAAGGUAAGAACCUGCAGCAGUAACAGCAUGGAGACUGAUUUCGCUUGUCCCUUUCUCUCUGGAUGGACGCGUGGGUGGUUUCCACUCUGCCUUCUCUGAGGGUGCCACGAGGAACAUUGAGUUCCUAUUUUCAGUUCUUUAGGGUAUAAACCUACGGUUCAAAUCAGGAGGUCCUAUGGUAAUUCUGUGUUUAAAUCUUUGUACCCUUUACUUUUUCUUUUAAAGUACUUUUAAAUUUUAAUAUUUUAAAUGAUGGAAAAAUAUACAUAACAUAAAACCUACCAUUUAAACCAUUUUUAGCUGAACAAUUCAGUGGCAUUGAACUUACGUAACCAUCAUGGUGGUCUAUUUCCAAAUUUUUUCUUCCCAAAAAGAAAGCACGAGGCCGGGCGCGGUGGCUCACUCCUGUAAUCCCAGCACUUUGGAAGGCCGAGGUGGGCGGAUCACGAGGUCAGGAGAUCGAGACCAUCCUGGCUAACAUGGUGAAACCCCAUCUCUACUAAAAAUACAAAAAAUUAGCCGCGUGUGGUGGUGGGCGCCUGUAGUCCCAGCUACUCGGUAGGCUGAGGCAGGAGAAUGGUGUGAACCAGGGAGGCGGAGCUUGCAGUGAGCCAAGAUCACGUCACUGCGCUCCAGUCUGGGAAACAGAGCAAGACUCUGUCUCAAAAAAAAAAAAAAAAAAAAAAAAAGCAUGCAUUUAAGCAGUAACUCCCCAUUCCCCCCAUGCACCCACUCCUGGUUAACCUCUCUUCUCUCUGUCUCUGAACUUGCCUCCUGUGAAGACCUUGUGUAAGUGGAAUAUUGCAAUAUUUGUCCUUCGCCUAGCCUCAUGUUCUCAAGGUUCAUUCAUCUGUGUUGCAGCCUCUUUCCAUAAUUGGUUCCAUUUUAUGAAUAUUGAAACUGGCCCAAUUGUCCCAUAGAAGUGAUGUUUAUGGUUUCUUUUAAAUAAACCUAGAAAUUGGCCCUCUGAAUCUUAGAACUUGAGAAAGUUACAUUUGUCCUAUCUGAGUUCCUUUCUCAGGAAACCAACCACUGGGCCUCCAGAUCGCACCAAGAAGCUGAAAUCCACCAGAUCACAGCAUCUGGACAAUGAGAUGAGAGACACCUCACCCUUCAUGAUUGCCCAGCUGGCCACCUGCUCCCAUUGACCAGCUCUUCCUUACCCUCCCUAAUUCCCAUUUUCUCACACACAGAUGCAUUUCUUCCCUGCUAAAAACCCCUAAUUUUAGGUGGUUGAGGUCAUGGGGUGACUCUGAGUAACAGUCAGAGGAACCUCCAAAUGGGUUUCCGAGGUGGCUGCUCUUUACAUUCCCAUGAGCAGUACAGGGGGCGCGGUUUCCCCACAGCCUUGCCGUCGCUUACCUCUCAUUUUCAGUGAUUUUAUUUGAGAAACAUACAUUCACCCGUCCAAACCCAAGGAAUAGACUCGGAGACUUGAGGAACAGGCGGAGCUCGCAGUGAGCCGAGAUCGCACCUCUGCACUCCAGGAGGCUGAGGCAGGAGAAUGGCGUGAACCCGGGAGGCGGAGCUUGCAGUGAGUCAAGAUCCCACCUCUGCACUCCAGCCUGAGCAACAGAGCGAGACUCCGUCUCAAAAAAAAAAAAAAAAAAAAAAGGACCAUUUAAAAUGUUUUCUUACAUUUUAUUGUAGUAAAAUACAUGUAACAUAAAACUUAUUAUGUAAGCGAUUUUAAGUGUGCAGUUCAGUGGUAUUAAAUACAUAAUAUGUCAUCUUGUGCAACUAUCAACCCCGUCUCCUUUUUUCCUUUUUUGUUUUUUGAGAUGGAGUCUCACUGUAUCGCCCAGGCUGGAGUGCAAGGGCACGAUCUCAGCUCACUGCAACCUCCAUUUCCCGGAUUCAAGCGAUUCUCCUGCCUCAGCCUCCCUAGUAGCUGGGAUUACAGGCACAUGCCACCACGCCUGGCUAAUUUUUGUAUUUUUAGUAGAGAUGGGGUUUCACCAUGUUGGCCAGGCUGGUCUUGAACUCUUGACCUCAAGUGAUCCUAUUAUGAACAUGAGUAUAGAAACAUCUCUUAGACCCUGCUUUGAGUUCUUUUCAGUUUGUAUAUGAAAUUGCUGGAUCAUGUAGUAGUUCCAUUUUUAAUUUGGAAUCACCACGGGGUUUUGGACAGCAGCUGCACCAUUUUACAUCCCACCCGCAGCAUCUGUACAUCCUCACAAAGGUUGUUACUCUCUGCGCUCUCCAUGCUAUUCCACUGGUCUAUAUGUCUCUAAAUGUCUGUUUUUCUUUUUUCUUUUUGAGAUGGAGUCUCGCUCUGACUCCCAAGUUGGAGUGCAGUGGCACAAUCUCAGCUCACUGCAACCUCUGCCUCCUGGGUUCAAGUGACUCUCCUGCGUCAGCCUCCUGAGUAGCUGGGAUUACAGGCUCCCACCACCACACGCAGCUAAUUUUUGUAUUUUUAGUAGAGACGGGGUUUCACCAUGUCGGCCAGGAUGCUCUCAAUCUCUUGACCUCGUGAUCUGCCUGCCUCAGCCACCCAAAGUGUUGGGAUUACAGGCGUGAGCCACCGCGCCUGGCCACCGCCCGAUUUUUUUUCUAUUGAUUUCCUGUUUUCAAUUUCAUUGAUUUCUCUUCUAAUUUUCAUUUAGUUAUUUAUCUUUUCUUCUUCCUGCUUUCAUUGGGUUAAUUUGCUCUUCUUCUUGCUUCCCAAGGUGAAAGUUUGGAUGACUGAUUGUAGAUCUCGCCUCUUCUCUAAUACAUACAUUCCGUGCUAUCAGUUGGCCACUAUGCAUUGCUUUUGCUGCAUCCCACGAGUUUUGAUAAGUUGUGUUUUAUUUUCAUUUAAAAUAUAUAUAUAUAUAUAUAUAUAUUUAUUAUUUUGAGAUGGAGUCUCGCUCUGUCACCCAGGCUGGAGUGCAGUGGUGUGUUCUCAGCUCACUGCAAGCUCUGCCUCCUGGGUUCAUGCCAUUCUUCUGCCUCAGCCUCCCGAAUAGCUGGGACUGCAGGCGCCCACCACCACGCCUGGCUAAUAUUUUUUGUAUUUUUAGUACAGAUGGGGUUUCACCGUGUUAGCCAGGAUGGUCUCGAUCUCCUGACCUCGUGAUCCACCCACCUCGGCCUCCCAAAGGGCUGGGAUUACAGGCGU